Molecule: long non-coding RNA, 230 nt
Filed under: Lathyrus oleraceus (garden pea)
Lineage: Eukaryota; Viridiplantae; Streptophyta; Magnoliopsida; Fabales; Fabaceae
Description: Pisum sativum (pea) long non-coding RNA (PSAT_LNC012869)
Source: RNAcentral
AAAAACUCUCUCUCAGAAAGAGAAAGAAAAAAGAAAAACAAAAGGAGGAGAACUUUCUUCCUCCAUCCGUUUUCGCCGGUGAUACCCCACCACACAAACCAACCUCGCCGCGGUUUCCACCACCUCCAUUAACUCCACAAAACCCAAUUUCUUUCCAAUGACCUCCCUGGCUGGAAAACGAAAAACUCUCACGUGACCACCGAACCGCCGCGACCUCCUUCACAACCCCA